Molecule: unclassified non-coding RNA, 349 nt
Filed under: soil metagenome
Description: partial contains 5.8S ribosomal RNA, internal transcribed spacer 2, and large subunit ribosomal RNA
Rfam family: 5.8S ribosomal RNA (bases 1-120)
Source: RNAcentral
GAUGAAGAACGUAGCAAAAUGCGAUAAGUAAUGUGAAUUGCAGAAUUCAGUGAAUCAUCGAAUCUUUGAACGCACAUUGCGCCCGCUGGUAUUCCGGCGGGCAUGCCUGUUCGAGCGUCAUUUCAACCCUCAAGCCCCCGGGUUUGGUGUUGGGGAUCGGCUCUGCCCUUCUGGGCGGUGCCGCCCCCGAAAUACAUUGGCGGUCUCGCUGCAGCCUCCAUUGCGUAGUAGCUAACACCUCGCAACUGGAACGCGGCGCGGCCAUGCCGUAAAACCCCAACUUCUGAAUGUUGACCUCGGAUCAGGUAGGAAUACCCGCUGAACUUAAGCAUAUCAAUAAGCGGAGGAU